This 497-nucleotide ribosomal RNA is filed under the name uncultured bacterium. RNAcentral describes it as "partial 16S ribosomal RNA". It matches the Rfam family "Bacterial small subunit ribosomal RNA", at positions 28 to 507 of the family's 1533-position model. The record is from RNAcentral.
GAUGAACGCUGGCGGCGUGCCUAAUACAUGCAAGUCGAGCGAACAGACGAGGAGCUUGCUCCUCUGACGUUAGCGGCGGACGGGUGAGUAACACGUGGAUAACCUACCUAUAAGACUGGGAUAACUUCGGGAAACCGGAGCUAAUACCGGAUAAUAUAUUGAACCGCAUGGCUCAAUAGUGAAAGACGGUUUUGCUGUCACUUAUAGAUGGAUCCGCGCCGCAUUAGCUAGUUGGUAAGGUAACGGCUUACCAAGGCAACGAUGCGUAGCCGACCUGAGAGGGUGAUCGGCCACACUGGAACUGAGACACGGUCCAGACUUCUACGGGAGGCAGCAGUAGGGAAUCUUCCGCAAUGGGCGAAAGCCUGACGGAGCAACGCCGCGUGAGUGAUGAAGGUCUUCGGAUCGUAAAACUCUGUUAUUAGGGAAGAACAAAUGUGUAAGUAACUAUGCACGUCUUGACGGUACCUAAUCAGAAAGCCACGGCUAACUACGUG